CAAUUGAAUACUUUGAAUUUUAUUGUCAGGAAUUGCGCCAAGCGCCGACACUUCUUUACUAUUUCGGAUAGUGUCUGGAACGCACGAACAAAACGCCGCUAUUCGGAUAUAACGAUGGAUUAUUUUGGACCAAACCAACAUUUGUUAUUGAAGUAGACGUCCUGGGUGUGCAUUCUGACGAAGACAACAAAAGUACACCAGCAGUAUGAGAGAAGUUUGGACUGGAUCUCCAUGCGAAAAACAACACACAGUUGAGACCCCCCCCCCCCAAAUUGGCUUAUACUACCCUAUCGUCUUGGCAAUCUCACUGUGGCGUUACAGGUCAGGGAGUCAGAGGGCUAAUCCAGCAGACCCAAUCAGCUUCGUGUGGAAUCUGAAGUGCUGUAAGGAGGAACUCUCUAACUACAGAUUCAGGAACUUCUCCUUCUUUCUCUUGGAUACCUGUUAUGGACAGUUGCAGUCAGGUGGCAGGAGAGGUGGAGUUCAUGACACUCCAUCCUGGAUAUGACAGAGUUUGCCACAAGUCAUGGGUACAGCAGGCAGAGGACUCCAUUUCAAAAGCAUCUCUUCUGCCCAUCUGUAGAAAAACAAGAAAAAGUUGAUGAGUGACACUUUAAAAAGGGUAAUAUUACUAAGCACUUGUGAUGUUCUGUCUUAUUAUACUGAACAAAAUAUAAAACGCACCAUGUAAAGUGUUGAUUCCAUGUU
This 708-nucleotide long non-coding RNA is filed under the name Salmo salar (Atlantic salmon). Its description in RNAcentral is "lncRNA (ENSSSAG00000101920.1)". The record is from RNAcentral. Lineage: Eukaryota; Metazoa; Chordata; Actinopteri; Salmoniformes; Salmonidae.